Molecule: long non-coding RNA, 2613 nt
Filed under: Homo sapiens (human)
Lineage: Eukaryota; Metazoa; Chordata; Mammalia; Primates; Hominidae
Description: HSALNT0404690
Source: RNAcentral
AGAUCCCCCCAGGGCUGUGGACGACUGGCACAGUGGGGUAAGUCCUGCUCCCCACAGCUGCUUCUGGGAUCCCAGACUGGGCCCAGAGUCCCCAUCCACAGAAGGGCCGGCAGGCCUGAGAAAGGACAGCCAGGUCGCCAGGGAGGGGAUGUGGCUCGCCCCCUUCUUCCCUUUCUCUGGAAGUGCAUUUACCUCCCCCCACACACAGGCGGGGUUGCAGGGCCCUUCCCAGCCAGACCCUGCAGUGCAGCUCUCUGGGAGGCCCCCCAGGGCAGUGGUUUCCUGGCUCUGUGCUUCCUAGGAUCCUGGAAGCCGACUGGGCUGGGGUUGGGGGGUGGAGCCCCAUGGGAGAAGGAUCUCCUGCAGGAAUGGCCUGGAUGGGGGCUUGGGGGUGGACAUGUGCCAGAGACACCUGGGUAACUUCAGGAGAGAGGAGGGAGGGGGAGAGAGGAGGGAGGGGGAGAGAGGAGGGAGGGGGAGAGAGGAGGGAGGGGGAGAGAGGAGGGAGGGGGAGAGGGGGGGAGAGAGGAGGGAGGAGGAGAAUAGGGGAUGGGAGAGAGGAGGGAGACGGUGAAGGGGAGAGUAGGGAGCCGGAGAGGAGAAUGAGGACAGGGGAGAAGAGGGAGGGGGAGAUGAGGAAAGGGGGAGGGGAGCAAGUGUGAGAGGAGGGAGGGGGAAAGGAGGGAAGGGGGAGAGGAGGGGACAGGAGAGAGGAAGAAGGGGGAGAGGAGUGAGUGUGAGAGGAGGGAGGGGGAGAGAGGGGAAAAGGGGGAGAGGAGGGAGGGGGAGAGGAGGGAAGGGGGAGAGGAGUGAGCAUGAGAGGAGGGAGGGGGAGAGAAGUGAGCGUGAGAGGAGGGAGGGGGAGAGGGGACAGGAGAGAGGAGGGAGGGAGACAGGAGUGAGCGUGAGAGGAGGGAGGGGGAGAGGAGUGAGCAUGAGAGGAGGGAGGCGGAGAGGAGGGGACAGGAGAGAGGAGGGAGGGGGACAGGAGUGAGCGUGAGAGGAAGGAGGGGGAGAGGAGGGAAGAGGGAGAGGAGUGAGCAUGAGAGGAGGGAGAGGGAGAGGACUGAGCGUGAGAGGAGGGAGGGGGAGAGAAGAGAAAAGAGGGAGCAAAGGGGACAGGAGAGAGGAGGGGGGGAGCGGAGGGAGCUCACCCGCUGUGGGUGGGGCAGGUUGUGGAAAUCAGCCCCAUGACAACAGUAAGCUCAGCCAGGACUGGGAUUCAGGAUGUUUUAUUUUCAUGCUUUAUGUGGUUUUCAUGUUCUCCCUGAGACAUAAGCAUCACUUACAAUCAGAAAAGAUCCCUGAUGAAAGUGCAUGAAGGAACACAAAGCAGGCGACUGCACGUCUAUGAACACGCUCACGAUUUCCUGUGAAGCAGAGGCACCUCUGGGCCCCACCCAGGCCUGGGACCGCCCUGAGCCUGAGCCCCUCACACAGUGCGGCCCCAGCCCUGCCUCGGAGAAGCCCAGGCCAGGAUGAAGCCUGGGACCGGGGGAGGAGUCGGACCGCGGCCCUGGAGCUCAGGAUGCUGCAGCCUGGGGUGUCGGCGUUAUUCCCACGCAUCUCCACAGCUCCCGCCGCACCCACCCCGCGGACCUGCUGGCGGAGCCGGUGGUAUACUGUGAACUGACUUAUGAAACCACCUCUGCAAGGCAAAACAGGCCAUUGGCCACUGGGCCCCGUGAACCUGUCCCUGGGCGUCCGCAUCUCUUCCAUCUUACAGACCGUGUGUCAGCCACCUGCUGCUGUGUGCCUGUGGUGGGACCCUCACUGCAGGGAAUGCUGCAUUCUUGGUGUUUGCUUACACAACGUGUUCCUAUUUCCUUUCCCAAAUCUGCAAGCACUCCUUGCAGAUAAAACAGCUCAGACUGGGAGAGGCCAAGAGAACACGGAGGUCCUGAAGCCCCCUGUGCUUGAGUCAGGAGCCCAGAGGCUGGUGCCACAGCUCCAAGCAGGCAGCACCAAACCUCAGCACCCACAGCCACAGUGUGGAUGACAUCAGUGGCAGGUAAAUUGACUGUACAGUAAGUGUACAAGGCCAGGCACGGUGGCUCAUGCCUGUAAUCCCAGCACUUUCGGAGGCCGAGGCAGGAGGACCACUUGAGUCCAGGAGUUCGAGACCAGCCUGGGCAACAUCGUGAGACCCCCAUCUCUACAAAACAUACAAAAUUAGCUGGGUAUGGUGGCACAUGCCUGUGAUCCCAGCUACUCGGGAGGCUGAGGUGGAGGGAUCACCUGAACCCAGGAGACUGAGGCUGCAGUGAGCUGUGAUGAGGCCACUACGUUCCAGCCUGGAUGACAGAGAGGCGGUUGGUGGGAAGAGGCGAGUGAGCCUGCCCGUGCGUCCCGCAUGGAGACGUCUGGAUUGGAAACUACCGAAAGAUGUUUCAAGGAACUCUCCCUGGGUGACACGCUGGUUUUCAGACGUUUGAUUCAGCUGCUGCAGUUUCCUCCUCCCUGACACGGGAACUGAACUGCAGGCCGCGGCGAGCCAGCCAGGGAAACCGCCUUCUCCCUGGGCUCGGAGCUGCUGCCGGUUCUGGAGGGAGAGACCCCAGCAAGGAGGUGGUGACUCAUGGGCCGCUCCUCCCCGCCCCGCCCCGCCCCUCC